UGCCAAUGUACAGAUGAGAUGGCAGUUGG
RNAcentral lists this non-coding RNA (29 nucleotides) under Rattus norvegicus (Norway rat). The record is from RNAcentral. Lineage: Eukaryota; Metazoa; Chordata; Mammalia; Rodentia; Muridae.